GAUGAACGCUGGCGGCGUGCCUAAUACAUGCAAGUCGAGCGAACGGACGAGAAGCUUGCUUCUCUGAUGUUAGCGGCGGACGGGUGAGUAACACGUGGAUAACCUACCUAUAAGACUGGGAUAACUUCGGGAAACCGUAGCUAAUACCGGAUAAUAUUUUGAACCGCAUGGUUCAAAAGUGAAAGACGGUCUUGCUGUCACUUAUAGAUGGAUCCGCGCUGCAUUAGCUAGUUGGUAAGGUAACGGCUUACCAAGGCAACGAUGCAUAGCCGACCUGAGAGGGUGAUGGGCCACACUGGAACUGAGACACGGUCCAGACUCCUACGGGAGGCAGCAGUAGGGAAUCUUCCGCAAUGGGCGAAAGCCUGACGGAGCAACGCCGCGUGAGUGAUGAAGGUCUUCGGAUCGUAAAACUCUGUUAUUAGGGAAGAACAUAUGUGUAAGUAACGGUGCACAUCUUGACGGUACCUAAUCGGAAAGCCACGGCUAACUACGU
Molecule: ribosomal RNA, 496 nt
Filed under: uncultured bacterium
Lineage: Bacteria
Description: partial 16S ribosomal RNA
Rfam family: Bacterial small subunit ribosomal RNA
Source: RNAcentral